CUCUUUCAGAAACAAGAGAUUUUUCAAGACCUUGCUCCACUGCUGUGGCACUCCUUUGGCACUGUUGCUGCACUGCUCCAGGAGAUUGUGUCAAUUUACCCUUCACUUUCACCUCCUACUUUGUCGCCAGUUGCAUCAAACCGUGUCUGCAAUGCACUUGCACUUCUUCAGUGUGUUGCUUCACACCCUGAGACCAGGAUCCCGUUCUUGAAUGCUCACAUCCCACUAUACCUGUACCCGUUCCUGAAUACUACCAGCAAGACAAGACCUUUUGAGUACUUGAGGCUUACCAGCUUGGGUGUUAUUGGUGCUCUUGUGAAGGUAAAUUAAAACUAGAUACUUAUGCAAACUAGGAAUGGAUGGUCCAUAUAGAUUUUUGCUUUAAAUGGUGAGAGGGUUGAACCAGAGGGGAAAACAGUGAUGGGGAUUGGCUGUAUUCUUUCUUUUUUUUGUAGACUAUAUCUUGUUCUUUUGGUAUUCUCAUUCCAGUAAUCCAGUCAUUUUAAUCAAAUGGACUGGUUGGGAUUGGAUCCCAGGAAUCUCAACAGGAACUGUUAUUUUUGAAGCAAACAGGCUAAUGAUUUGUUAGAAAUUAUAUUGUUUCUUCUUUUGGAUA
This is a long non-coding RNA of Triticum aestivum (bread wheat), 616 nucleotides long. RefSeq lists it as uncharacterized. The transcript has 4 exons. The record is from RefSeq and is a predicted model, not a curated record. Lineage: Eukaryota; Viridiplantae; Streptophyta; Magnoliopsida; Poales; Poaceae.